UGGGGAAUUUUGGACAAUGGGGGCAACCCUGAUCCAGCAAUGCCGCGUGUGUGAAGAAGGCCUUCGGGUUGUAAAGCACUUUUGUCCGGAAAGAAAACGUCGUGGUUAAUACCCGUGGCGGCUGACGGUACCGGAAGAAUAAGCACCGGCUAACUACGUGCCAGCAGCCGCGGUAAUACGUAGGGUGCAAGCGUUAAUCGGAAUUACUGGGCGUAAAGCGUGCGCAGGCGGUCCGCUAAGACAGAUGUGAAAUCCCCGGGCUUAACCUGGGAACUGCAUUUGUGACUGGCGGGCUAGAGUAUGGCAGAGGGGGGUAGAAUUCCACGUGUAGCAGUGAAAUGCGUAGAGAUGUGGAGGAAUACCGAUGGCGAAGGCAGCCCCCUGGGCCAAUACUGACGCUCAUGCACGAAAGCGUGGGGAGCAAACAGGAUUAGAUACCCUGGUAGUCCACGCCCUAAACGAUGUCAACUAGUUGUCGGGUCUUCAUUGACUUGGUAACGUAGCUAACGCGUGAAGUUGACCGCCUGGGGAGUACGGUCGCAAGAUUAAAACU
RNAcentral lists this ribosomal RNA (553 nucleotides) under uncultured bacterium. RNAcentral's name for it is "partial 16S ribosomal RNA". It matches the Rfam family "Bacterial small subunit ribosomal RNA", at positions 355 to 901 of the family's 1533-position model. The record is from RNAcentral.